AAUAACGGACAGGGGAGCUUGUGAAACGGGCUGAGAGGAAGUUUAUAACUUCGACCCUUACACCUGAUGUGGAUAAUGCCACCGUAGGAAAGGUCUCUGUUGCUAUUAU
RNAcentral lists this non-coding RNA (109 nucleotides) under Clostridium kluyveri. RNAcentral describes it as "TPP sequence". It matches the Rfam family "TPP riboswitch aptamer (THI element)". From Rfam's summary of the family: Vitamin B(1) in its active form thiamin pyrophosphate (TPP) is an essential coenzyme that is synthesised by coupling of pyrimidine and thiazole moieties in bacteria. The previously detected thiamin-regulatory element, thi box was extended, resulting in a new, highly conserved RNA secondary structure, the THI element, which is widely distributed in eubacteria and also occurs in some archaea. The record is from RNAcentral. Lineage: Bacteria; Bacillati; Bacillota; Clostridia; Eubacteriales; Clostridiaceae. RNAcentral also lists the same sequence under 1 other name.